Molecule: long non-coding RNA, 785 nt
Organism: Corticium candelabrum
Lineage: Eukaryota; Metazoa; Porifera; Homoscleromorpha; Homosclerophorida; Plakinidae
Exons: 3
Source: RefSeq, a predicted model, not a curated record
UCGGGUCGUCUGACUUGGCUGGGGAGCCUUCGGCUCCGCUGGGAACCGACGAUGCUGAUUCUGACCGUCCCUCUUUCUUUCUCUCGGUCUUUUUUACCUGUACGACAACGAGAAAGGAUUGAGUUGCCCGCAGUGUGAGAAUGGCAUGCAGCUGGUCGUUGUUGUUUGAAUCGUGUGACUAUCAAGGCAGUAGCAUCGCUGGUGUGCGCUAGUAAUGCGGUUGAAAGUCAUUACACGGAAGAUGCAACUGGAAUGCUUUGGAGGUGAACAGAAAAAUGUGGUUUGGCAAUCUCUUCUCCUGAUGACAGUUGACGUAUUUUAGUAUUAGACAAACUUUCUCAACUCAAUCUGUACACUAUCUACGCAAUUGUCAAACCAAUACCAGAUCAUCUUGCAAUCUUGGCUGUUGAAGUUGAUUUAUUCACAAUAUUGGAUACGUUAUUUGUUUGAACAGUGGACGAAUUCGAAGAUACGCAUGGUGGCGAGAGUACAUGGUAUGCUAGCGUCUGAAUGUGAGUGUCAAGCAUGGCUGGCUUUAGAUGAGUGGCGUAUAUCAUAUGUUAAAAGUUUGUAACGGAUUGCGAAGGCAUGCAUGGUCACUAUGAAGCUGCUCACCACUUCACAUUUCACAGAGAAAUACAUUAACUAGAGCCGGUGUCAGGCGCAUUCCAAGAAAAUGUGUCUAAUUAGUUAGAGCCGCACAAGUUAUACUGUGCCCGCUUUUUUGUUGCUUGGUAAGAAGUCUUGUUUGUUGUUAAUUGGCUUAGGCAACGUCUAAUUUUUCU